RNAcentral lists this ribosomal RNA (253 nucleotides) under uncultured bacterium. Its description in RNAcentral is "partial 16S ribosomal RNA". It matches the Rfam family "Bacterial small subunit ribosomal RNA", at positions 524 to 776 of the family's 1533-position model. The record is from RNAcentral.
UACAGAGGUCCCAAGCGUUGUUCGGAUUCACUGGGCGUAAAGGGUGCGUAGGUGGCAUGGUAAGUUUGAUGUGAAAGCUCAGGGCUUAACCCUGAAAUGGCAUUGAAUACUACUGUGCUGGAGGUUUGGAGGGGGGACUGGAAUUCUUGGUGUAGCAGUGAAAUGCGUAGAUAUCAAGAGGAACACCAGUGGCGAAGGCGAGUCCCUGGACAACACCUGACACUGAGGCACGAAAGCUAGGGGAGCAAACGGG